GGUGGCUCAGUGGUAAGAGUGCUUGCCUAGCAUGCAUGAGACCCUGGGUUCCAUUCCUCAGCACCA
RNAcentral lists this transfer RNA (66 nucleotides) under Dipodomys ordii (Ord's kangaroo rat). It matches the Rfam family "tRNA". From Rfam's summary of the family: Transfer RNA (tRNA) molecules are approximately 80 nucleotides in length. Their secondary structure includes four short double-helical elements and three loops (D, anti-codon, and T loops). Lineage: Eukaryota; Metazoa; Chordata; Mammalia; Rodentia; Heteromyidae. The record is from Rfam by way of RNAcentral.